Molecule: long non-coding RNA, 1327 nt
Organism: Hyaena hyaena (striped hyena)
Lineage: Eukaryota; Metazoa; Chordata; Mammalia; Carnivora; Hyaenidae
Exons: 3
Source: RefSeq, a predicted model, not a curated record
CUCUACAGGAGCAUGCUGCUCUAUUACAGUUUUUACUAUGGUUAAUCCAUGGGUAUUCAGGGCUUGUUUAUAGCUUCCGUGAGCUGGGAGAGUGAGAGUUUCUCCCUGAGGACGCAUCCAUCCUUGACUGACGAUAGCUCCUGGACUGGCAUAGAUUCUCCAGGUAAUUGUGUGCCUACAGCCAGCCUUCUGCAGCGAGGCCCAGCUCCUCUGUUCUCCUCUUUGUGUUAAAUCACAGCACAGGCUUAAAAACAACCAAAAAAGGGGGCUUAGACUACACAGCACACACAGACAUGCACAUGCCAUAGAUGGCAUAUAGAAACUGGGGUCCUGCUGGGUUGCUUCAGCUGCACUCAUGUCCCCUGAGAAGGGAGAGCUCCACCCUGAGCUUCACCAGUGAGGAGGAAUUCAGACACCCAGCUCAGCAGCCUGCCCAGAACUCUGCUAACCGCUCCAGCGUGUCACCUGUUCAAGAACAACGCAUUCCCCCUCCUCCUUUGGGUGCUUUGUUUACUGGUUUCUGGGAGGCCAGCUGACAGAGCAAACCCACCAUCUCAGAGGAGGCAAACCUGUUAAUUGUGUCCACUUAGAAUGCCCAGUGUCUUUUUUCUCCACUCACAUUGCCUUUCCUCUGAGGGGCUAGGAAAAGCCACACUCCACUGGCUGCUAUCUGAUGUCAACACCAGCUUCCUACUUCAGAGUUGCUCUGAGUCCAUGCACAGUGGAUACCUGUGUUUCUGAUCUGCCAGGAAGCAACCAAGGGCAUCUCCGUUCUCUGGCUCCAGCUUUACAGCUUGCCUCUCUCACUCUGCUCUUCUCUUUUUCUGGGAUGCUUUCUCUUUCUCUUGCAUUUGACAAGAUAUGAAGUAACUUGGCAAGGAACAAGAUGCCAAGCUGACACUAAAGGUAUCCAAACAGGGAUUCAAGUUUCCAGGACUGGAUAAAAGGCCCAGUCUUUUACUUCAGUUGGACAUCAAAGGUACACCCACAAUGACACAUCAUAACCUGCUUGGCUUGCUAAAGGUAUUUGCAUCACAUCAUCAGAGAUUCUGAAUUUUCUCUCCUGACAAGUGGCUUGCAGACAAAUUUACGUAAAAAUCUCCAUUAUCUAGAUAUCUAUAACCAGUCUACCCAUAAGCCAGGGUAUGGGUAUGGGUAUCCUUCAAGUGAUAUCUUUGAGGUAUGAAGAACCAGGUAAAGAUGCCAGAGGCUACAGUAGAAAACAUUGAGAAGAUGGAGCAGAAAACAAAUCCACAGACUGAAACAGACAUGCACGUGCCAAGGGCAUAGGUUAAUAUUACCAUUAUUAAAAGCAGUGUGGAAAAUU